UACGAAGGGGGCUAGCGUUGCUCGGAAUCACUGGGCGUAAAGCGCACGUAGGCGGGUCUUUAAGUCGGAGGUGAAAUCCUGGAGCUCAACUCCAGAACUGCCUUCGAUACUGAGGAUCUCGAGUCCGGGAGAGGUGAGUGGAACUGCGAGUGUAGAGGUGAAAUUCGUAGAUAUUCGCAAGAACACCAGUGGCGAAGGCGGCUCACUGGCCCGGUACUGACGCUGAGGUGCGAAAGCGUGGGGAGCAAACAGGG
Molecule: ribosomal RNA, 254 nt
Filed under: uncultured bacterium
Lineage: Bacteria
Description: partial 16S ribosomal RNA
Rfam family: Bacterial small subunit ribosomal RNA
Source: RNAcentral